RNAcentral lists this microRNA (22 nucleotides) under Gallus gallus (chicken). RNAcentral's name for it is "gga-miR-12230-5p". Lineage: Eukaryota; Metazoa; Chordata; Aves; Galliformes; Phasianidae. The record is from miRBase by way of RNAcentral.
AAAGUGGAUGAAGACACCAUGG